UGUUGUUUCUUAUGUUCUAGAGAAGCUAGAGGAGUAAUUAGUGUUCUCUGUUUUUCUAAUGAGUAUAUGUGUGGAACUAUGGGUGCAAACAAAUAGUAAAGGAGCAAUUAACUUUCUCUCUUUUUUGCAAGUAUAUGUGGAUGCGCAUAAAGUGUUGGUUGUCUGCUUAUAUCAAGUAUGGUCUGAUAUUUUGGUCAUAUCAGCCCCAGUAUUGAGCAUACCGACUAAUAUUCUGGUCAUAUUAGCCCCAAUAUUGAGCAUACCAGCUGAUAUUCUAGUCAUAUCACACUUUCUACAGUCUACACCAAAUCUGCGAGCACGAUAUCUGAUAUUUGAAUCUUGAAAUUACCAUUAGAAAGGCAAAGAGAUCUUGUAGAAAAAUAGGUUACAUGCUCAGGUAUAUCAUAUAUGGAGAAAAGGCACCUAUCAGCUGUAUUGGUUCUUUCGUAUUUUUGUGCAGUCCUUCUAUUAAUUUUUCUAACUUUCUGGAUUUAUAUUUGAGCAAGAUAAAUAUAUUCCAUCUCUAUCCCAGUACUGAAUCGAAGCUUCAUCAAAUCUAUCUGGGCGUUCAUUGCGUAAUACAAUGUUGAGAUUGAGAACAUUUUCAGAGGGGAACUUAAGGUAUCACCUAAUGAUAUAAUAUUAGUCACUAUCCGUUGAUUGGUAAAUUUUGCUUUAGUAUACACCCCUUCGGGAUAUGGCUUUCAAUUCUAUACUUUUCUUUGAUUAUCAGUAUUGCUACAAGGAUAAUAAUCAUUUUUAUUGCAAAGUACGUACUACAUUAGACAAAUCAGCAUGUUUUCCCAUAGAAAUACAUGUGGCGCGAAAGCAGCGACAGUCAUGUUUGAAAGUGUGUAUUAUAAGAGUAUGUAUCUUAGUUAUUUUGGCAUCGCCAUCCUUUAUGGAUGUCCGUAUUCAAGAGCUCCGUAUUGAAUUGGACUGAAAUUCCAAUUCAGUGAGGAAACUGAAAUGGCAUGAAUACGAAUUCACAUGUUUGGUUGUUCACUGAAUUGGCCCUUGAAAUGUCUCUGAGGUUUCAAUACCAAAUCAUGUUUGGAUGACAAACUUUGGAAUUGCAUGGCUACAUUACCAAGAAGAUUAUACCUUUCUACAUGACACAAAACUUAAAUCUUCUCACAUGUGACUAUAAUUCAAUGAAUAUAUAGAAGUAAAAGAUAAUAAAUAUUAUACCAGAUAGUACUUAUGAGGUUCACAAACAAUCACAUAGGUACUAUCAAUUCACAAGCAGUCUACUAGCAGCACUCAGGUCACCUCAAUGUGUACUGCUGAAAUUCAGAAUAAAGCAUCUAGCUUGAUACUCCUCAAAUAACUCAUACACAAGCACUGUACUACUUUACAUAUCUAACAUGCAAUUUUCGUUCAGUAAGAAAGGCAAUCACUGAAUAUUUCUGGUACACAUGAGCUUCAGCAAAAGGCAACAAGCAUCCAUCUUGAUAUCCCUCAAAUUACUCAUACACGAGCACUGUACCAGUUCACCUAUUUAACAUGCAAUGUUCAUUCAGUAUGAAAGAUAAUGGCUCAAUUUUUGGUACACACGAGCUUCAGUAAAAAAGGCAGCAAGUAUUCAAGUCCUCAAAUCACGUAUCUGCACCAACUGCAGUUCAAUCCAUUUGAUUGUUCGCUAUGUAUAGAUAAUGGGCAGCCUGCCACGGUCACGGUUAUCACCCCUUGCACCUGUACCUCUAUCCUCUUGCUUCACAUGGGGAUGGGGACGGGAUAGUAUGGUGGUCGCCGCUGCCGUCGGACAGGAUGGUGGACGCCGCCAGGAUUCCUCUCAUCCACCUCCCGGUCGGGGUGGGGAUGGAGAUUGGCCGUGGUGGUCGCCGCUGGAGAUGGGGACCAGUAGCGGAGGGGUGCGGUAGGGGGCGGAACAAUCGGUGCAGGGGAUGGGAAGGAGAGGGAGAGACGGGGGAGGAACAGAUCUGCGCCGCCGCCGAGCGCCGCGGUUCGUCGUCGCCACUCUGGUAGCUAGGUCGCCCCGAGAUGCCAUCUCGUCUCCCUUCUUUCCUUCUUUUCUUUUCUGGUCACUGGGAUCAAAGGGGUAUGUUUUGCGGGAGCCGAGCAAUUGAGAGCAAAACGGAGCGGGAGCCCUCUGAAUCGUGGGAGGGAGCUUUACGUGGGCGGAAAAACAGCUCUGAAUUGGCUGGUGUUUCCAAUACGAAUUCGAUGUACAACCAAACAUCUGUAUUGAGGUCAUAUGAUUACCAAUUCGAUUUCCUGGGCUGCAAUGGAGACAUCCAAACGUGGUGUAUAGGUUGUUUUGCAUAACAAACAAUGAGGUCUGCAUAUGUAGAUUUGCAAGUUAAAUUCACCACACCUUUGAAACCCGUAGUUGUUUACUAUUCUCUUAAAUCUUUAAACUUUGUGCUUCAUUCCUUUAAUUUCAGAACUAGGAGGGUGCAGAUAAGUAAGAGUUGUUGGCAACAGCAACCUACACAUGUGGAAACAGUGGCUAUGGCGGUUCAAAGGGAAGUUGUGGCUGCUAGACAGCAACUCACAACUUAGUGGCGGCUCAAAGGACAUAUAAUCUAUUUCUUCUUGGAGCUAUCUACUAUAAUAUUAUGACUCGGUGCUAGCUGAAGCUUCUAUUUUCUCGCCUUUUGUGGUGGCGAUUAUUCCUUGGACUGCAGUAAUUCCAUUUGUAAGUAUCAUGUACUACAACCAUCUUUAUCUUUAGCCCCUGCACUUCAGUAUCAAAUUCGUGUGUAAGUGUAGGUUUUCUACCUGCUCCCUGAACAUUCCAUUGUUUUUCAUGUGCAUUUUUUUUAUCACCGGCUUCAACAUAGUUAAUUAGCAUGCGAGAGGCUCAACUGUAGCUUUUUGCAAUGCUAGAAGGCCAUAUUCAGUACUGAAAAUCUAGACUGUUCUUUCCACUCUGUAACAACUUCUAUGCUUGCGCCACCAUGAUAUCAUUACAACAUUUCCCUGUAAAAUUUUAUUAGUUACACAUAAGCUGAAUUGAUUUACCAGUAAAAAUCUGUACAACUCAUUUCAGUCGAUAGUAACCAUUGUAGAAUUACCAGGAUAUGUCAUGUAUGUGCUCUACGUCAUAGCAUGUUGCAAAAAGUACAAUAAGAGAUAGAUUGUAUGCACUAUGGCUACCAGUAACAUUUUUCGACUUGUACAUCAUUCGAUCUAUCUAUUUCUACAGGCUACUCCUCAUGUUGCAACCUUUUCCCGUAGAAUCAAAAGGAAUUAGAUGGAAGAAAUUGCAGGAGGUAUACUUUGUGUUCCAUUAGUCUUACUUUCGGAGGCAUGUCUAUAGUCUUAGUGUUGGAGGUGUGUCAAUAGUAGUAUCAAUUUUGGAGGCUUGUCUAUAUUAAUCUUAUUUUUUGUAUUAUGUUUCUUUCCAUCUGCAUCCUCUUCAUAAUGGAUUAGGUUACUUUGUUAUUGCCAUGUGAUACUUUUUCUUAUUACUGUGAUUGUCAGUGCUCUUAACAUUGGUUGUUCUUGCUUUACGGCUGCCUUCUCAGCGCACUAUUAUUAGUUCUAAUACAUUAACUAUAAUAUGCUCGAUUGACCAUAUUAAUUAUAUAUUUCACUUCACCGGGGCUAUUGGUGGAAGUGUUGGUUAAAAUAUUUUGGUGGCGGUGUAUAAAACUAAUUUUGGUACACCAUUAUUAAGUGCGCUUUUGAGCUUUGAGUAGACAAUUGUGGUCUUAAUUACAUUAAAGGAUCGUUAAUAUAUUACUGUCGCUUUCCAUGUUCAGUUAUUCACACUAUAUUAUUGCUUGGUUCUGAUAGCUUGCUAUUACUAGAGAAGGAAUGGUAUUGUCGGCUGACAUUCAAAAGCAGUCAAGAUGGUGAAGUUUAGAACGGAGGAGCUCCACGGAAUUAUGGAUAAAAAAUAUCCAUAACAUGUCUGUCAUUGCUCAUGUCGACCAUGGUAUGUGACGGAGCAGUGACAGUUGUCUCUAAUUGUCAAGUUUAUACGGUAGAAUCUUCUUGAUUGAUGAUUUUAUAGCCUUCUCUUAGUUGUACUGUAUUAAUUCUUAAAACUGGAUCAUUUAAAAUUAGUUAGAUUUAAUGAGUUGUUUCACUGUUUUCAAAUAAGUAGUUUAAGCCCUUAUUGUGUCCCGGAGCUUAUUCUUUCUGCCUUUUUAUGAUUGAUAUAUGCUCUAACAAGCUUAAAUGUAACUAUUGGCAUAUAAUCUCAUGGCUCAAAAUCUUAGUUGUUGAAUGUAUUAAAAUUUAUAAGAUAUGGAGUUUGCACUAUAUUUCAUCCUGCAGUAUUCCCAGUAACUGAAUAUUAAGAGCACCGACGAUCCCAGGUUGUACAUUCGGGAAAUGCUUUUAUCUUGCAGGCCAGUUUUACAUUUACUUCUUCGAUAAGGAGAUGACCAUGAAUAGAGUAUCAUGUUAUUUGCCUUGGCAUUACUGAUGUUGUGUUCAGAUUACUGAAAGAAGGAUUGGUACCCGCAAAGGAGUGAAGGGUAGAAAAUAUGUCCAUUGUCAUUGAAUUGGUGGGAUUGUCCCCAAGUUAGUGCUGCAGAUGUUUCUAUUUUAGAGCAAGAAGCCAAAUCAUGCUGUUCGUAAAUCUUGAAAAACUUGUUUGUUGUCACGUCUAUAUCUGUUGUAAACGUUUGUUCGUGAUGUGGUACUUGUCAAUCUUGGUUUGCCCUUCCUUUUCAAGUUUGCCUUAAAUUUCAGCAGACCAACAAGUCCUUGUGUCUUCAAUUGGUUUCUCAUUUCAUGUUUGCACUUGUAUUAUAGUAGAACAACAUGUCAUAAACAUGGCGUUCGGCAUUGUUUGUCCAGUUCCCUUCAAGAAAGAAGAGAUGGCUAUAGAGAGUGGCUCCAUCACUGAAGAGAUGAAAAAUUUUGUGCAAGGCAUUGUUUGUUAAGCUCCUUUUAAAAAUAAAGUAAUUAUGGUGCAUCUAGCAUAUAAAGGGGUUGUGAAGGACAAAACGCUAUGGAUUCAGAGGGGUGGGAGGGCAGAGUUUACUAACAAUGUAUGGAGGACAAAGUGUGAUCUGGAUUUCUAAGUUUCAACUCGUAGCAGAAUUGUAUGGAGAGAAUGCCUGCAUUUUGAAAAUCCUAUUACAUAGUUUGAGGCUAUGUUUCUUCCAAUUUUCAUUAUUGAAAAG
RNAcentral lists this long non-coding RNA (5108 nucleotides) under Triticum aestivum (bread wheat). RNAcentral's name for it is "long non-coding RNA (TAES_LNC003419)". The record is from RNAcentral. Lineage: Eukaryota; Viridiplantae; Streptophyta; Magnoliopsida; Poales; Poaceae.